Molecule: ribosomal RNA, 500 nt
Filed under: uncultured Glomeromycotina
Lineage: Eukaryota; Fungi; Glomeromycota
Description: partial small subunit ribosomal RNA
Rfam family: Eukaryotic small subunit ribosomal RNA
Source: RNAcentral
CCAAUAGCGUAUAUUAAAGUUGUUGCAGUUAAAAAGCUCGUAGUUGAACUUCGGGAUCAAUGGAUCGGUCAUGCCAUCGGUAUGUACUGGUCUCAUUGGUUCUCACCUUCUAAGGAACCUUAAUGUCAUUCAUUUGAUGUUUUGGGGAAUUAGGACUGUUACCUUGAAAAAAUUAGAGUGUUUAAAGCAGGCUAACGCUUGAAUACAUUAGCAUGGAAUAAUGAAAUAGGACAUCGCAUUCUAUUUUGUUGGUUUCUAGGAUCGAUGUAAUGAUUAAUAGGGAUAGUUGGGGGCAUUAGUAUUCAAUUGUCAGAGGUGAAAUUCUUGGAUUUAUUGAAGACUAACUACUGCGAAAGCAUUUGCCAAGGAUGUUUUCAUUAAUCAAGAACGAAAGUUAGGGGAUCGAAGACGAUCAGAUACCGUCGUAGUCUUAACCAUAAACUAUGCCGACUAGGGAUCGGAUGAUGUUGAUUUUUUAAUGACUCAUUCGGCACCUUACG